UUCACUGCAGGGCAACCUGCACGUGGCGAUUAAAGCCUUGAUUGAUUGAUUGACAUUAUAAAAGAUGGGUCCAGCUUCUAGGUCUAAAGUGCCUAACUGGGUUGAAACUUGUAACUGGUAGGUUGUUAGCCAAAGAGGUAGCAGUUUUACAGAUGGGUGACAUGACAGUAGCUACGUCCAUCUUUAACAUUCCAAAUAGCUGUCUUCUAAUUUCAGCUUAUAGAAAAAAACAUCGUUUCAUAGUUAUAUCACAACUAGACUUGUAAGGUUUUCACCGUGUGUGUGUGUGUGUGUGUGUGUGUGUGUGUGUGUGUGUGUGUGUGUGUGUGUGUGUGUGUGUGUGUGUGCGGGCCAUCAUUGCAAAAAGGUCCCAGAAACACCUGUCAUGUGCAAUCAACACAAGUAAGCAAUCAUUACAUUCUGACAAAACCUCACCCUCUGUUUCCCAAUAAUUGUGUUACCACUGCUCGCUGCAAACUGUAGUGUGCUGGUGUCUCGGGAUGUGUUGAUUUGAUUCCUUUUUUUUUGUUUUUUGUUUUGGGGGAUUUUUUUUAGUCCACAAUAGCACCUUGCUCUUCUUUUAGCUUUUAUUAACCUGCCUGGUAAAAGUAUCCUAUGGCUUGUGUGUUGUCCAUACCCCUUCAAUAUAUGUCUGGCAAGUCUCUGCAGCCAAUAUUGCUAUGAACAGAGCUUUCCCUGCAGCAUAAAAUGGUUUAAAUCAAAGUGCUUGAUCAUUUACUGCUCUGAUUUGGUGUAAUGUUUCUGAUAAAUCUAUCUAUUUUCUCCAAAAGAUAUCUCGUUGUAAUAUUAAAAAUAUUGUGGACACUAUUGACACAACAGUAAAAGAACAGUAAAAGAGCAUCAAAGUCAAUACAGACCUCAUUACUGAAGUGUCCAACCUUUGAUGAUUGGUUAUUGUGGAAAAACUCUUACUAUAAAAGCAAUAUCAUUGAAGGACGAUGGGAAGGCAGGAGAAGAAAGGACAGAAAGGACAUUUCCAAGUUAGCAAACAUC
Molecule: long non-coding RNA, 1014 nt
Organism: Astatotilapia calliptera (eastern happy)
Lineage: Eukaryota; Metazoa; Chordata; Actinopteri; Cichliformes; Cichlidae
Source: Ensembl